UUUUUUCAAAAAAAUACAUUCUUAAAUAUAAUUUGACAUCAUUUCAACCACACAUUCUUCAUGAAACAGACACGCUUAAUCCUAGUUUUGAACAAAUGGUACACAUAACUAUAUAGUAGAAUUGUAGACACCACCGCCAUCCAACAUAACAAACAUGGGAGUUGGGGCAUGUCUUUCGAGUUUGAAACACAACUGUUGAAUCAUCUGAAUUAGAUUCCAUAAACAAAUCCAGAAGCAUGAAACUUUUGUCUUGUAAUAGCAUCAAUUUGGUGAAUCAUUUCAGGCUUCAAGUAGUUUAUGUGAUCACCAACUUUCCCAUUUCUGAAAAAUGAAUUAUACGGCAAUGGAAAACACUCUGGCGUCUCACUCGACUUGUUAACUUCGUGAUUACUCAACGUUUCAAAGCCACAACUUUUCACAAUUUCCUCAAUUUUUUCUUCUGCAUUUUCACCUUCAAAUGGACACCCAAGAAAUCCAGCCAAUCUUUUCACUUGUUUGUUUCCAUCUUCCUUAAGUUCCUCGAAGGUAACAAAGAAUACUUUCCAAGGCCUUUUAAGGCUUUCUUCCCUGUAAGCCAAAACAUGAUCAUAAUACGGGCCGAAAGGUAAAACCCCAUUGCAGAACUGAUCAACAGCAGCCUCUAGUGUCCAUGGAUCUUCGUGGAAUUUCUUUGCUUUUUGUAUGAAAUGCCAAAGGGAAACGAGAGUGUCCUUUGGAUUUCUUGUAACAUAAACAAUUUUACAAUCUGAGGAGUUGAGGACAUCGCCUAUAAUCUGGUAAGGAAUAUGGGUUCCAAGAAUUCUAACUUUUUGAUCAGUAAAUUCAGGGUCUUUUCCAUUGGAUUCAAGAAAUAGUUUUGUUUCUAGAGAUGGAAUGAGUUCAUGGGGGUGGUUGAAAAUCAGGGAUUUUUCUUCUGAAGAUCUGAAAAUAAUGGAAUGUAAAAGAGCUUUAAGCCAUGUAGUGCCAGUUUUGGGGAAAGAAGCAAGAAUUACAUCAGUUGGAAGUGGCUUGAAAUUCUCAACAACCUUUUUUGUGGAUUCAAGAUAAGUUGUCCAAAUCCAAGAGCCCUUAAAUUUGUAGAGAAAUUCAUCAGAAAACCAUUUUUGUUUUUGUGAAGUUAAUGACCAUGCACUUAUACUUACUCAUCAUUUAUGAAUAAAGAUAAAGGGCGUAAUAAAGAACAUUAGUUCAUAGUUCCCGUUCCUUAUGUAAAGCAAGUGCAGAUUUUGAAAAAUCAAAGCAGAACCUUUGCAAUGUUUGCCGGGAUGCUUGUUGGAACGACAUUUUUGGUAAGAUAGCAAGUAACAUAGGUGAUGAGACAAUAAAUUUUGGCUAUAGGUAACGAAUACACAUAAAACUAAAUUGCAUUACACCCAUACUAAGAUAGAACAUACGUUGUUACGUCCUUCAUAAGUUCUAGUACAAACAUAAUUCGAUUAACAAGUUCAACCCAAUAAAACUAAUCAAGUGGCCUCCUUUGUUUCCCGUUUCCUUCCAAACUUUCAUUUCCCUUGCCAAAAGUAAUGUUCAAGUUAAUCUCUACAUCUCGUUCGUAGGAUAUUCGAGCUAGAGUUUUGAACAUUCUUGGCAAAUCUUCGACUUCUUCAUUUUGCCGCAACAUUGAGCGCUUCAUUAAUGGUACUCGAUUCUCCACUUGACUCUCCUUGUUCUACCCAUUCGAAAAAUCCACAUUUCUUAUUGCAUGUGUUGAAUAAUCGCCCUUUGUUACACGUCUGCUUUUCAACUUUAAAACAUUUUUGAAAUCCAUGUGCACACCUUGGGCAACGACGUUUUCUAGGGCAUUCAUUGAAAAAAUGCCCAUUGCUUCUACAGUUGUGACAAAUUUCAGCAUUCCUUCCUUUCAUAUCCUUAGAUGGAAAACAAGCACAUAAAUUAGUUGUACAAACCAUGAACCCCAAAUUGUUCAAAGCAGAGCAACAUGUGAAAUAAAUAAAUCAAUUGCAAAAAAACAUCUCCGUUACUCAUCGUUUCUGCCCAAUCAAAAGAAUAAUCUGGUAAACUAUUUACGAAUAAGUUGCCAACAACUAUAAGGUUGCACAUCAAAAAUCAUAUCUAGUAAAGACUUGCAAGAUGAUACAACCAUAGUAAAAGCUACCAUUACACCACUUAAAUCAAGUCGUUGCCAACAAUCAAUUUGUUGCACGUCAAAAUCAAACAAAACGCCAAUUCAUUUACUAUAGACGAUACAUGAACUCUUUAGAUCGCAACCAUCCAUCGAUCAACGACACAUUUAACAACCUAAUUAUUGGAAUACUAUUAUACGCAUCAAUAUUUAUUUAACAGGGUCUAAAUGGCAUCCAGGAUAGAUUUUAGUCAUAAUUCUAAACAUGGUUAACAUGGUUUAAAAGUAUGAAACCUAUAUAAUUAACGGUUAAUUAGAAAAUCAACUCAAGCAUAGAACACACAAUAUAAUGUCGAGAAUCUCUAAUGCAUAUUCAAGAGUCUAGUCUAGAAUCUGGAUGCAUUAACGGUUAAUUGCAAAAUCAACUAAAGACAGUAAAUUGAAAACAAGUGCGAGUACAAUGCAGGAAAAAUGACGUGCCUCCAGUCCAGAAUCAAUCGGACGUACAAAACAAAUGCGAUCUAACAAGAAUGUUGCAGUAGCUUAUGUAUAAUAGCAUGCUUCUAAUCUCCGAAAAUCUGCAAUGAAAAUGCUUGCUGGAGCCGCAGGAUAAUGCCUGAACCACAGCGUACUGAAGACUGCAGUUAAGUCGAAAGGAAGCCCAUUUCUCGAGCAUCUGACCGCAUCGAGUGGUGUACAGGUCGCUGGAGUUUAUACUGUGACUGGAGGUGGAAAGUCGUCGAGGAAUAUGGUGGGUGUGUCGUUGACUGCGUGAGAGGGGUUUCGGAGAGCUGAAAUCGAGGGUACAGGGUGCGCAGGCUUCAGUCCAGCUCUCCAGUGUUUAGAUUGACUCCGGCGGUGGGGAUGUGGCUGAGCGUCGAUCGGAAAUGGGGCUUGUGGAAGAGCUGGAGAAAACGAAUUGGGGGAGGGGGGAAAUGAGGCGCGGUCUACUAAUUCUCCCUCCUUUUGUUCUCUGUAUCUGUCGUUUUUUUCUUUUUUUUUUUUUAAUUCUGCAAACGUCACCAAUUUUUUGAAUCCCUGUAGAAGACCUGAACCACCCCCUGUACCCCAAGCAUUAUUCAAAAAAGAAAGGGGGAAGGACCACUGCAGCACCGGUAUAACUUCUGUGAGAAAUUCCCUAGAUGAAUUACUCAAUUAUGAAUUUUCAGUUGGACUCGAUCAACAAUUUUCCAAUCAAGACCCCUUAUUUGGGCUCCAUUUUAUUGAAAUGUAGGGAAAAAUAUGUUUUAAAAUAUUGAUAUUUUUGAACAAUGUGCAGUUAAAAAAAAGAAAUAUUUAGAUUUAUUUGUAAUAUUAUUUUAUAGAAUAAUGUGUGGUUGAAAGGAAGAAAGAAAAAAAAAGCAUUAUAAUUUUAAUGGUGGCCAAACAGGGGCUUAAGAGAAUGGAGAGGUCAUGCGUCUGAUUUUUUCAUGUCCUUAUCUUGGAAAAAAAAUGUAUUAUUGAAUGUUGAUUUUUUGGAGAAUGUGUAGUUAUAAAGUCAAAGAAAAUCGAUUUACAUGUUAAAUUUUUUAUUGAAGAAUAUGUGGUCGAAAAUAAGUUUGAAGAAAUGGGACUCGAACAAGGACUUAAGAGUUUAUUUGCAAAGAUUUUCCAAAAAGAAAAAUGAUUUUUUAGAAUGUGUUGUCAAAAAGCAGAUAAAAUUAUGGAUCUAAAAAAUUGUGUGAUUAAAAAUAAAGCUGUUAAUAAAAAAUAGAGUUCAAUUGAAUGCUUAAGCCCUUGUUUGAUGGCCCUUAUUGAGAAAAUUUGAUAUUUUGAAUAAUGAUUUUUUGAAGAAUGAGUGGUUAAAGGUAAUAAAAAUUUUGGAUUUACGUCUAAAAUAUUUUAUUGUGUUAAUGCAUAAUUAAAUCGAAUAUAAGAAUUAAAGAAUCUUGUUUUUAUGGGAGACAAAGAGUGACUAAAUUUCAAAUUUACAUUUUCAAAGAGCUGUUUGUAGAACAUUUUAAAGUAAAAAUUCUACCCAUUUGAAUACGAAAAUAAAAGUUCGCAAAUUUGACUCUCCACCUUUUGGGUUGGAAUAUACAAAAAUUAACAAAAACGAUUUUUUUUUUUCAUAAUUAGGCUAUAUUUUUUCAAAAAAAUACAUUCUUAAAUAUAAUUUGACAUCAUUUCAACCACACAUUCUUCAUGAAACAGACACGCUUAAUCCUAGUUUUGAACAAAUGGUACACAUAACUAUAUAGUAGAAUUGCAGACACUACCGCCAUCCAACAUAACAAACAUGGGAGUUGGGACAUGUCUUUCGAGUUCAAAACACAAUUGUCGAAACAACUGAAAUAAAUUCCAAACAUUGGAGUUGGGACAUGUCUUUCGAGUUUGAAACACAACUGUUGAAUCAUCUGAAUUAGAUUCCAUAAACAAAUCCAGAAGCAUGAAACUUUUGUCUUGUAAUAGCAUCAAUUUGGUGAAUCAUUUCAGGCUUCAAGUAGUUUAUGUGAUCACCAACUUUCCCAUUUCUGAAAAAUGAAUUAUACGGCAAUGGAAAACACUCUGGCGUCUCACUCGACUUGUUAACUUCGUGAUUACUCAACGUUUCAAAGCCACAACUUUUCACAAUUUCCUCAAUUUUUUCUUCUGCAUUUUCACCUUCAAAUGGACACCCAAGAAAUCCAGCCAAUCUUUUCACUUGUUUGUUUCCAUCUUCCUUAAGUUCCUCGAAGGUAACAAAGAAUACUUUCCAAGGCCUUUUAAGGCUUUCUUCCCUGUAAGCCAAAACAUGAUCAUAAUACGGGCCGAAAGGUAAAACCCCAUUGCAGAACUGAUCAACAGCAGCCUCUAGUGUCCAUGGAUCUUCGUGGAAUUUCUUUGCUUUUUGUAUGAAAUGCCAAAGGGAAACGAGAGUGUCCUUUGGAUUUCUUGUAACAUAAACAAUUUUACAAUCUGAGGAGUUGAGGACAUCGCCUAUAAUCUGGUAAGGAAUAUGGGUUCCAAGAAUUCUAACUUUUUGAUCAGUAAAUUCAGGGUCUUUUCCAUUGGAUUCAAGAAAUAGUUUUGUUUCUAGAGAUGGAAUGAGUUCAUGGGGGUGGUUGAAAAUCAGGGAUUUUUCUUCUGAAGAUCUGAAAAUAAUGGAAUGUAAAAGAGCUUUAAGCCAUGUAGUGCCAGUUUUGGGGAAAGAAGCAAGAAUUACAUCAGUUGGAAGUGGCUUGAAAUUCUCAACAACCUUUUUUGUGGAUUCAAGAUAAGUUGUCCAAAUCCAAGAGCCCUUAAAUUUGUAGAGAAAUUCAUCAGAAAACCAUUUUUGUUUUUGUAUUGCUGAAUCAGGAUGAGGGUUUUGGUAUGCAAAAGCUUCCAUUGUUGAAGAAGAAAGGCUUCAAUUGAUGAAGAAUUCAGUAGUCAUUUUCAUUUUAUGCAGUAAAGAAGAAGGUGAUAGAAAAGUUGGUUGGCAAUUUAAUUACUUAUAGAAAAGUUUGUUGGCAAUUUAAUUACUUAUAGAAAAGUUGGUUGGCAAUUUAAUUACUCACUGACAGUAAAUGUGCGCCUCUACCGGACUUUGUGAUAUGUGCGCUAUAAGAAUAUCUUAUAGGAAUGUUAAGUGGAACGAGCAACUUGUAGGCGAGCUCACUUCCAAGGCAAGCUGUGAAUGUGAGCUGAACAACAAAAACCUUGUGUAAAAUGAGUGGCUCACAAGCCAGCUUAUGGUCAAGAGUUAAAAUGUAAUUUAUAAUUAAAAGAAACACGAGCAGUGAGUAGCUCGAGAGCUGAUUCGUCAAAGUUGUAUAAAUUUCUAAGUAAAACAGGUUCAUGCUUCGUAAAUGGACAUUUCUCUCAAACCAGCUAAAAAGGAAAAGAAUAGCGCAACCUUUUGCACUUUAAAGCAUUUAAGUGUCAAACUUCCCCUACCUUUCACCAUUAUUAAAGGUUGAAUCUCAACUUUGAGGAUCCCUACUGACCCGCCUCUAAAACUUUGUGAAGGAGGUAAAUUGCAGAAUGUACCCCAAUAGGUCAGGCGACAAAAGUAGCUUGUACACUGUGCCUACAAAGAGUCCAAUUCCAUGUCUCAGGAAUCGGACACCCACACCUUUCACCAUUAUUAAGUAUGAGUUGGGUAUUCAAUGUACGGAAUUGUUAGUUGACCUCUAAAUAGAUGAAGAAUAGUUAUAUUCAUACCAUAAUUUAUUAUGAAUGUAUCAAAUUUUAAUUGUAUUAAAAGUUAUUUAUUGUCACGCUUAUAUUUUAACUUUUUCCUUUACGUUCUUUUAUCCUUAAUCAUUCAUUAAUUAGUAUGCUUUUUGUGUGUGCUUUAAAAUGAGGGAUAGAAAAUUUAGUCACAAUUUUGCCGUUUUUGUCUACCAUUUUUAACCACAUUCUCACAAUAAAUAUUUUUCACAUAAAUCACAAACUUUUUCCUAUUUUUUAGCCAAUGAGUAACUAUGCACCUUUUAUGUCCCUUAAUAUGUCAAGUUCAACUUAUAAGGAGAUGGAAUUCCAACCACAAUAUUAAAAACAAUUUUUCCUUGAUUAUAAAAAGGACACACAUCAAACUCGAUUAAUUAAAAAUAAUUGUUAAUGUUAAAUAAACUUGUUUAUUUUAAUAAGUCAGUAAUCCGGAAAUAAUUUUAAACCAUUGUAUAAUUGUUCUUUUAAUUAUUGAAAAUGCAUUUUUUCCGGCAAUUUACACAAAUAGGAAUAAAAUAUGGGCUGAAUUUGAAAAAUAUUGAUUUUUGUUACAUUUUGCAAAUACAUCUUCAACUGGUGCUCAAGGAAAAAUAUGACAAUUAUAGUUUAUGUAAUUUUUUCUCCAUGUAUUUUAUGUAAUGGUUUUGAGACGACUUUAAUUUAUAUCAUGUGUUAAUUUUAUUAAAUUAUAUGUGAUUUUUUUUAAAAGUGUAACUUACUCUAUUUGUUAAUUCUUUGUAACUUUAACAAUUUUAUAGUAAGUGAUGGUUCGGUAGCUUCCAAAGAAUUAAAAAGUUCAUAACCCAAACUGGUAUGAGGGCUUCGAAGAUGUGAUUUUGUUUCCCCUUUUUCCUUGCAAAUCCAUUCAUUUAGGUCGGUAGACUAAGUCACCCGCGGCCUUCUCAUUUCAAAGCAAAUUGACAUAACUCUCACCAACAGAGCUCAUUUUGUCAUGUUGUUGGGAUAUUCGGACGAUAAUUUAAAAUAGUUGAUGGAUAAUUUAUUGACACCACAAACUCGGCUUGACUCGACUCAAAUAUGAUUGGCACUCGACUCAACGGUUUUCUGGUGUCUUCUCCGAUGGGGAAUGUAAAACUUCAAAUGGGGAAUGAGCUUCCCACAGACGGCGCCAAAUUGUUGACCUCCAAAAAUGGCUCCUCCACGUGGCCAACUUAUAGCUACUCCACGUAUCCUCCCUGCGAAAUGAACAAAUGGUCAGGUGCACACGGCCGGAACCGACGGGGGUGGCGGCCGUAUAUACUCCGACGGUCAAGUCAGGUUUGGGUGAUCGGAACAGUGCCUUGGGGCUACACAAAUCAAUCAAUAAAGGGGGAGGAGAAUAUAUAAACUUGUUAUGGAAUGCUAUGUAUUGAGAGUUUCAUUACCUUUGCCUCUUGCCAAACUGUGGGUAUUUAUAGGUGGUAUGAACCGUGGGAUGUGGAACACGUGUAUACAUCUGAUGGUAUGAAGCGUCUGCUCAUAGGCGUCAAUCAGCCGCGCUUGUAGAGUAGUCGGACAGUUUGUUUCCCCCGAGUUGAAUUGACAUAAAGUUGAUAAAUCACAUCAAAUAGCUUCAUGGGGACGUCAAAUCAAUUUAAACCUUAUAUGCAGAACAAAUCUUAAAUUGGCGGCGGAUCUUCUAAUCGGGGUCCACCUGAACCCGACCUCGGAGGUGGGAUACUUCGGCACAUCAGUAGUAGGAAUCGAUGUAUCACUUCGGAGAAGCUUCGGGAGGGUCGGAGUGGUCUAUUUGAUCUUGGCUUCGGUGGUGAGAUGACACUUCGGUAUCGAGGCUCAUAAAAUGAGGCGUAACAGUCAUAAUUCUCAACCAUCGAGAACAAUUAAAAUGCACAAAGAAAAAUAAAUACACAAGAAAAUUCAAGAAAAAUAAACACUUAAAUCAAUCCGCAUGCAUGUUACGCACAUAAUAAUAAUUAGAUUUAAGAGCUUAAAUGGUAACAUACCCUUCAUGAAACAGACACACGUAAUCCUAGUUUUGAACAAAUGGUACACAUAACUAUAUAGUAGAAUUGUAGACACCACCGCCAUCCAACAUAACAAACAUGGGAGUUGGGGCAUGUCUUUCGAGUUUGAAACACAACUGUUGAAUCAUCUGAAUUAGAUUCCAUAAACAAAUCCAGAAGCAUGAAACUUUUGUCUUGUAAUAGCAUCAAUUUGGUGAAUCAUUUCAGGCUUCAAGUAGUUUAUGUGAUCACCAACUUUCCCAUUUCUGAAAAAUGAAUUAUACGGCAAUGGAAAACACUCUGGCGUCUCACUCGACUUGUUAACUUCGUGAUUACUCAACGUUUCAAAGCCACAACUUUUCACAAUUUCCUCAAUUUUUUCUUCUGCAUUUUCACCUUCAAAUGGACACCCAAGAAAUCCAGCCAAUCUUUUCACUUGUUUGUUUCCAUCUUCCUUAAGUUCCUCGAAGGUAACAAAGAAUACUUUCCAAGGCCUUUUAAGGCUUUCUUCCCUGUAAGCCAAAACAUGAUCAUAAUACGGGCCGAAAGGUAAAACCCCAUUGCAGAACUGAUCAACAGCAGCCUCUAGUGUCCAUGGAUCUUCGUGGAAUUUCUUUGCUUUUUGUAUGAAAUGCCAAAGGGAAACGAGAGUGUCCUUUGGAUUUCUUGUAACAUAAACAAUUUUACAAUCU
Molecule: long non-coding RNA, 8873 nt
Filed under: Olea europaea (common olive)
Lineage: Eukaryota; Viridiplantae; Streptophyta; Magnoliopsida; Lamiales; Oleaceae
Description: long non-coding RNA (OEUR_LNC003374)
Source: RNAcentral